RNAcentral lists this ribosomal RNA (515 nucleotides) under uncultured microorganism. RNAcentral describes it as "bacterial SSU rRNA". It matches the Rfam family "Bacterial small subunit ribosomal RNA", at positions 9 to 517 of the family's 1533-position model. The record is from RNAcentral.
GAGUUUGAUCGUGGCUCAGAUUGAACGCUGGCGGCAGGCUUAACACAUGCAAGUCGAGCGGGGGAGGUUGCUUCGGUAACUGACCUAGCGGCGGACGGGUGAGUAAUACUUAGGAAUCUGCCUAUUAAUGGGGACAACAUCUCGAAAGGGAUGCUAAUACCGCAUACGCCCUACGGGGGAAAGCAGGGGAUCACUUGUGACCUUGCGUUAAUAGAUGAGCCUAAGUCGGAUUAGCUAGUUGGUGGGUAAAGGCCUACCAAGGCGACGAUCUGUAGCGGGUCUGAGAGGAUGAUCCGCCACACUGGGACUGAGACACGGCCCAGACUCCUACGGGAGGCAGCAGUGGGGAAUAUUGGACAAGUGGGGGGAACCCUGAUCCAGCCAUGCCGCGUGUGUGAAGAAGGCUUUAUGGUUGUAAAGCACUUUAAGCGAGGAGGAGGCUCUUCUAGUUAAUACCUAGGAUGAGUGGACGUUACUCGCAGAAUAAGCACCGGCUAACUCUGUGCCAGCAGCCG